RNAcentral lists this ribosomal RNA (446 nucleotides) under uncultured bacterium. RNAcentral's name for it is "partial 16S ribosomal RNA". It matches the Rfam family "Bacterial small subunit ribosomal RNA", at positions 338 to 795 of the family's 1533-position model. The record is from RNAcentral.
CCUACGGGGUGCAGCAGUCGAGAAUCAUUCACAAUGGGGGAAACCCUGAUGGUGCGACGCCGCGUGGGGGAAUGAAGGUCUUCGGAUUGUAAACCCCUGUCAUGUGGGAGCAAAUUAAAAAGAUCGUACCACACGAGGAAGAGACGGCUAACUCUGUGCCAGCAGCCGCGGUAAUACAGAGGUCUCAAGCGUUGUUCGGAAUCACUGGGCGUAAAGCGUGCGUAGGCUGUUUCGUAAGUCGUGUGUGAAAGGCGCGGGCUCAACCCGCGGACGGCACAUGAUACUGCGAGACUAGAGUAAUGGAGGGGGAACCGGAAUUCUCGGUGUAGCAGUGAAAUGCGUAGAUAUCGAGAGGAACACUCGUGGCGAAGGCGGGUUCCUGGACAGUAACUGACGCUGAGGCACGAAGGCCAGGGGAGCGAAAGGGAUUAGAUACCCUUGUAGUC